RNAcentral lists this transfer RNA (73 nucleotides) under Marmota monax (woodchuck). RNAcentral's name for it is "tRNA.Ala". Lineage: Eukaryota; Metazoa; Chordata; Mammalia; Rodentia; Sciuridae. The record is from RNAcentral.
GUGGAAUUGUGGCUCAGUGGUAGAGUGUUUGCCUGGCAUAUGUGAGGCACUGGGUUCAAUCCUCAGCACCACA